Molecule: long non-coding RNA, 1211 nt
Organism: Acanthopagrus latus (yellowfin seabream)
Lineage: Eukaryota; Metazoa; Chordata; Actinopteri; Spariformes; Sparidae
Exons: 3
Source: RefSeq, a predicted model, not a curated record
GGUGGAGACCCAGCUGACAGGCUUCUGGUACUGGCUCACUGCCAGCUGCAGUUUGGCAUGUUCUAGGGCCAGAGGUUCAGGUGGCUCCUGGAGAACAGUCUUGGAUAUGCACUGUAUUUACUAUACAGCAUUUCCAAGGAAACCGUGCAGGCAAACCCUCUGUCUGAGAACAAACAGCUGUUCCAGGAGUUUACCUCUCAGAUCAGAGAAAUGAUGGUGGAACUGGAGAAGUUUAGCCGUAAGCAGGAGAUGCAGUGGAAAGUGAAGGACUCUGGAGACCAGGGCUGUUUCAUGGUGGAGUUUGGAGAUUGUAAGGGUCGCUCCAUGAAGGGAGUUUGAGGACCAGAGUCAGAAGGCCCAGACCCUCAGUACCUGAAGACUGCUGAUGCCCGGCCCAACAUCAACAUGGCGUCUUUGUGCCAGAGACGCACUGCAGCCUCCACCCUCCCAUCUUCAGCCUCCAUUUCUUCUGUACCUCCUCCACUUCCUCUGCAUCUCCAGCAGGAUUCCAAAGUGGCGCAUGGAAGCCCGCCACUGAAAUCUCUGCUGGCGCGUGGGAAAAAUCGGUCUCCUUCACAGCUGGUGAAAAAGUGAAUGUCACCAGUUAAACUCUGAAUAGAAGUGUGGAUUUUGAAUUUCCCCUACAGCAGUCCUACAUGUAUAGCUUGUACCAUUUUAACACAUUAUACAAACUUGUCCACUUUGUUCCGCAGCUCACCUCACCUCACCCCCACCUUCAAAACCCCAGCAGCUUUUCCCUUCUGACUCUGCUGAGAUUGAUGAUGAGGAAAUGGUAUCCGCUGCAGCGCAAUGUGAGGCACAGCUGAAUAGAGCAUAAGUGGAUAUGGCACACUCUGUUCAAGGCCAACGCACGUACCGGCAAGCCAGAGCUAGUGUCACAGCUGAAGCUUUGGUGGUAUCCUCCUUAGCCCAUCCUCAUUCACACCCAGCCUGUCCACUUCUUCUGUCGGCCGCUGUUCCUGUGGAUGCCCCCGAAGAUGUGGCUGUUUCCUCUGGUCUGUGUUCAUCCAGCCUGUGGCAAGCACAUGCUAACAGCUGCAGGAAUGUACAGAACAGUGCAAAAGGUGCUGGACAUCGACAGGUGGUAUGACCUUGCCACUGAGUACCUGGAGUGCAAAUGCUGCUUGGUCUGAAGACAUCUUAGGCCAGCUGGAUAUGGGCCAACCCAGCAAGUUUCCAGCUUUGCUCAC